UUUGGUUAUCUGGCUGUAUGA
Molecule: microRNA, 21 nt
Filed under: Ascaris suum (pig roundworm)
Lineage: Eukaryota; Metazoa; Nematoda; Chromadorea; Rhabditida; Ascarididae
Description: asu-miR-79-5p
Gene: asu-miR-79-5p
Source: miRBase by way of RNAcentral